Molecule: non-coding RNA, 99 nt
Organism: Firmicutes bacterium CAG:24
Lineage: Bacteria; Bacillati; Bacillota
Source: Rfam
GAUCGACUCUCUGGAGACACCCGGAUCAGCCGGGGGCCGAAGGUGCAACAUACGAAUUUCUCGUAUGAAUCUCUCAGGUAAAAGGACAGAGAAGAUAUU